GUGGGGACAGGUGAAGGGGAGGAGGAAGAGUGUAUUUUGUUUAUGGGCGGCAACCUCACGAGGGGCGUCCCAUCCUUAUUGGCUCAUUGAAGCGAAGAGUGGCAUGAGAACAACCCAAUAGUAGGAAAAGAUAGAGGGUUCGCGAUGUGAGGCGCCCAAUGUGGGCCUUCUGCCGAAGAGGUAGGGGCGGGGGGAAGUUUAGGAGUUGAGGAAAGAAGAUUAAAGAGCGCGAGGAGUCACACAGAAAGAAGUGUUAAGAAUUUCCCUUUGAUGCUCUGAAGGCUAAAGAGUACCUGAUAAAUUGCAAGUCUGUCUGUGCCCCAUAGCUGCACAGGUAUGUAUGUGAAUUACCUAUAGUUAUGUUAAUCUACAUAUUAGCUGGUAAGUGAUUA
Molecule: long non-coding RNA, 392 nt
Filed under: Bos mutus (wild yak)
Lineage: Eukaryota; Metazoa; Chordata; Mammalia; Artiodactyla; Bovidae
Description: lncRNA (ENSBMUG00000018856.1)
Source: RNAcentral